RNAcentral lists this long non-coding RNA (1441 nucleotides) under Anser brachyrhynchus (Pink-footed goose). RNAcentral's name for it is "lncRNA (ENSABRG00000008873.1)". The record is from RNAcentral. Lineage: Eukaryota; Metazoa; Chordata; Aves; Anseriformes; Anatidae.
CUGAAAGCUCAAAAUUCCAAUUCUUUCCAUCCUUGCAGGAAAGCCUACAAUUCUGAGAUCAUUGUAUUACAAAGCUCCUCAGAAUUAUGCUGAACUGUUGCAACAUCCUGCGGAGUGCACAAAGGAAAGACACCAAGAGGAAAUUUAUGGUCAAAGGCCAUAACAAAACUGGAUUCUCAAUGGCUUUUUGAGGGAGUUAAGAAAAGAGAAAGUGCCGCCUCUUCUGUUAACAUGUAACUUCAAGACACGAGAUUUUUCAAGGACAGUACACAAGCCCUGAGACAAAACUCAUCCUUUCAAGUGGCUGGUUCUUAAAGACCUCCUAUUAAGAAUUCAGGUGCAGGUGGAUUAAGCUGAUGACAGCACCACGCAUGGAACUUGGGUGUCACCAGAGGAGUUUUUUGGCAGGCAAACAAUCCGGCUGUGAGCUGCAAGCACCUGCCUGUGCCCCUGCACCCCACCACCAUGCAGUGCAGGUGGAUCUCAUGUGCUGCUUGCACACCAGGAUCCACUACAGCGGCUCCAGAUUUUCCUCCUCCUCCACAGCUGUCACUAGCUUCCAGCAGACAGGUUACAAGGGAAAAGAACAAUACAAACCCAAAACCCAGAUGUUUAGAGCAGACUCUCUGAUGCCUGAAGAACCAAGACUAAAGAGUCAAGACAAAAGUUUUGGCAAGUUCAUCCCAGGUCACUGUUUGCCUUGGGAAAAGUGAGGUCAACCUACACCAUCAUUUUAUAGCCCUGAGAGUAAUUUGUCCAUGUCUUACAUCCCCUUGUGCUAAGCACCUUGCACUAAGCACUGACACCAUGUGCCAGCACCCAGCUUGGUGUCACGACAACAUCGACCAGCAGUGACACCACGCAGCAACCCCUAGAAGGGAUUUCUGUGUCCCUCCAUGGAAUCAAAUGGCAGGUGGCCUUUUGGAGUAGGCAUGGAACAUUGUAUCAUUGUAUGUGAGGGAGAGCUGCAAGCUCUCACCGCCGCAUUUGUCCCUUGAUUUCAUUUCUCAGGUGAACAGUGAAAGCUGGAUAACCACAACGCUUCACCCUCUUAUGGUGAAAUUGAAAGAGGAAGUAUUCUGUGUUGAAAAAACACAUCAGCAUUGCAAGUUUCCCAUGCAUUUGUGCAACUAUCCAAAAGCAUUUAAUGUAGUUUUCAGCAGCUGUCCCCAGGCUGGCAGAGAUGGGCACCUGGGCUUGCAGUCUAAGAGUGCAAUGGAGAAAGUUACAAGGUCCUUUGCAUGGUAAUGGAUGAUAUUUUUUAUUUUUCCAAAGUAAAAAUCACUUUUCUCAUCCUGGCAACAUCAUCUUAACACUGAACAACCUAAAUGGCUUUUGAUUCACAUGAUGUCAUACUUUUAAAUAUCCUUUCUUUUACACAUAGUUUACAUGUAUGCUCUCUGUUGACACUCCCACCAAAUAAAAGUUAUUUGAGUUGCCA